UACGUAGGGUCCGAGCGUUAAUCGGAAUUACUGGGCGUAAAGCGUGCGCAGGCGGUUUUGUAAGCCAGAUGUGAAAGCCCCGGGCUUAACCUGGGAAUGGCAUUUGGGACUGCAAGGCUGGAGUACGGCAGAGGGAGGUGGAAUUCCAGGUGUAGCAGUGAAAUGCGUAGAUAUCUGGAGGAACACCGAUGGCGAGGCAGCCUCCUGGGCUAGUACUGACGCUCAUGCACGAAAGCGUGGGGAGCAAACAGG
This 252-nucleotide ribosomal RNA is filed under the name uncultured bacterium. RNAcentral's name for it is "partial 16S ribosomal RNA". It matches the Rfam family "Bacterial small subunit ribosomal RNA", at positions 524 to 776 of the family's 1533-position model. The record is from RNAcentral.